UCCGAUUGAUCCCGUCGGACCCCACUGCUAUCGAGAUGGGACUAAAGUAUGCUAGUCGAACGACCAGAACUAUGUCUGGGAGUGGCACACUGCUCAGUAACACGUAGCUAACCUACCCUUAGGACGUGGAUACCCCCGAGAAAUUGGGGUUAAUCCGCGAUAGAUGUAAUGUCCUGGAAUGGUAUUACGUCUAAAGGUAUUUCAUACAUGUUUGAAAUAUGCCUAAGGAUGGGGCUGCGGCCGAUCAGGCUGUUGGUGAGGUAAUGGCUCACCAAACCUUUGACCGGUACGGGCCAUGAGAGUGGUAGCCCGGAGAUGGACACUGAGACAAGGGUCCAGGCCCUAAGGGGCGCAGCAACCGCGAAACCUCCACAAUGCACUCACGUGCGAUGGGGCUAUCUCGAGUGCCACCUGAUGAAGGUGGCUUUUUCCUUGGUCUUCAAAGCCUUGGGAAUAAGAGGGGGGCAAGACUGGUGUCAGCCGCCGCGGUAACACCAGCCCCUCGAGUGGUGGGGAUGAUUAUUUGGCCUAAAGCGUCCGUAGCCGGCCGUAAAAGUCUUCCGUUAAAUCCAGCGCCUCAAGCGUUGGACCGCGGGAGAUACUACAUGGCUAGAGAGUGGGAGAGGUCAGCGGUAUUCUGGGGGUAGGGGCGAAAUCCUUUGAUCCCCGGAGGACCACCAGUGGCGAAGGCUGCUGACUAGAACACGUCUGACGGUCAGGGACGAAAGCUGGGGUAGCGAACCGGAUUAGAUACCCGGGUAGUCCCAGCCGUAAACGAUGCAUGCUAGGUGUUGGGUUGGCCACGAGCCACCCCAGUGCCGCAGGGAAGCCGUUAAGCAUGCCGCCUGGGAAGUACGAUCGCAAGAUUGAAACUUAAAGGAAUUGGCGGGGGAGCACCACCAGGCGUGAAGCCUGCGGUUUAAUUGGAGUCAACGCCGGGAACCUUACCGGGAGCGACAGCAGAGUGAAGGCCAGAUUGAAGAUCUUGCCAGACGAGCUGAGAGGAGGUGCAUGGCCGUCGCCAGUUCGUGCCGUGAGGUGUUCUCUUAAGUGAGAUAACGAACGAGACCCGUGCCACAUGUUGCCACCAGUAUCUAAAGGAUAGCUGAGCACUCUUGUGGGACCGCAGCCGAUAAGGCUGAGGAAGGUACGGGCAACGGCAGGUCAGUAUGCCCCGAAUCUCCCGGGCCACACGCGGGCUGCAAUGGUAUAGACAGAGGGCUGCCACCCCGAGAGGGGGAGCCAAUCCCUAAACUGUACCUCAGUUGGGAUCGAGGGUUGCAACCCACCCUCGUGAACAUGGAAUGCCUAGUAACCGCCAGUCAUCAUCUGGCGGUGAAUACGUCCCAGCUCCUUGCACACACUGCCCGUCGAACCACCCGAAUGAGGUUUGGGUGAGGAAUGGUCGAAUGUUGGCCGUUUCGAACCUGGGCCUCGUAAGGAGGGUUAAGUCGUAACAAGGUG
RNAcentral lists this ribosomal RNA (1464 nucleotides) under metagenome. RNAcentral describes it as "bacterial SSU rRNA". It matches the Rfam family "Archaeal small subunit ribosomal RNA". The record is from RNAcentral.